UACGAAGGGGGCUAGCGUUGUUCGGAUUUACUGGGCGUAAAGCGCACGUAGGCGGAUCGUUAAGUCAGGGGUGAAAUCCUGGAGCUCAACUCCAGAACUGCCUUUGAUACUGGCGAUCUUGAGUCCGGAAGAGGUGGGUGGAACUCCUAGUGUAGAGGUGGAAUUCGUAGAUAUUAGGAAGAACACCAGUGGCGAAGGCGGCUCACUGGUCCGGUACUGACGCUGAGGUGCGAAAGCGUGGGGAGCAAACAGG
This 253-nucleotide ribosomal RNA is filed under the name uncultured bacterium. RNAcentral describes it as "partial 16S ribosomal RNA". It matches the Rfam family "Bacterial small subunit ribosomal RNA", at positions 524 to 776 of the family's 1533-position model. The record is from RNAcentral.